UUUUUUUUUUUUUUUCUCCUGUUAAUGGUAGAAGGAUUUACAGGAGCACAGAGAAGAGCCUUCUCUCCAGCAGGCAAUUGAAAUGCUCGGUGACGGUGCCUUGAUACAUUGAUGGUGUAUCUUCUAGUCUGGUCACGAAGCAGUUUCACUGCCCGUUUAUGCCACAAUUUUUUGUUAGAUUUAAAAGAUGACCCAAGCGUUUCCCACGGCCGCGUAAGCCCUUGAAUUGACACGAGGCUCAGUAUGAGAGCACCUGGCCCCCAUGAUUUAAAAAAAAAAUCUUCCUGUAUUAUAUGAAAACGAGGAGAAAAAAAAAUGUUUUUCAACCUAAAAUGUAGAUGCUUCAAUUACGUAUUACUGCAUUAAGUUCACUGAGAAACACGGGUGUGGCCCUUUCAAUCAAUAUAGGUGGAUAUACCAGCAGUCUGAUGUAUACCAUCAGCUGAUGGCAAGAGGCUAUGCAGAAAUCCGAAGUGAGUGGAAAUAAUUUGCACUAAUGGAUUUUGUUUUGCUUUGCUUUGCCUUGCCAGAAUGUCAUAAACCAGCUACUCUUUCUCUGUGAUUGAAUCAGUGACGGUUUCCUUUGUAAGCAUUGCUGGCUGCUUUUCUUGAAAUGAGGUUGAGAUGCAAAGUGAACUAGCUGCAAAUUACUUUGAACGUUUACAUGGGCCUACCCAGACUAGGAAAGUGAAUGAGGUUAGUCUAUAAUUGGCUGCAACAGUAAUAGCUUUAUUUGUUUUUCUAGAUGUUAAAAGAGAAAGUCCUGAGCAAUAACUGAAAACUGCUCUAAAGAAAUCAUCUGUGGAAACGUUCAUCCAGAGAGCCCAUGUUCUGUUUCAGCCAAGACAGAGGUGCACCCCCAGCCAAUGGGGUGGAACUUCUCCAUAGAUACAAUAAUUUUGUGUACAGCCUUAGCUGCAAAGGACCAUCGUGCAUCCCCAUCUAAACUCCAGUUCUGUCAAGAAAGAGUAAAAUAUUUAGGAUUUAUUCUAACUGAAGGAAAACGAUC
Molecule: long non-coding RNA, 1009 nt
Filed under: Struthio camelus australis
Lineage: Eukaryota; Metazoa; Chordata; Aves; Struthioniformes; Struthionidae
Description: lncRNA (ENSSCUG00000017998.1)
Source: RNAcentral